CUUUUUGGUGGCUGUGCCCACCCCCUUUUCCUACUUUAGAUUGCAAGCUCAAUUGUCAAUGACAACAAGUUCUUUUUCCUUAUUUGUAUGGACAGGCCUUAGCACAGUGCGUGGCACAUAGUAAGCACUUCAUGAUUGCUGAAAAUUAAAUUGAACUAUUCCAAGGCUACAGAUGAAGAAGAGAUCAUGUUGUAAAUUCUGAGGAUGCAGAAAUCCCCCGGACAUCAUUGUGUGGGUUUCUUCCAUCCAGCCCCAAGGACACGUUGCACGUGAACCUGCCAGCGGUGACCCAGAAUGUGCUCAAGGUCUCAAUCUCUUGCAAGGGAGCAACAACUAAAGAUGGGCCUUUCAGGAGAAGACAAGAAGGCAAAAUAUGGAUUUGUUCAUUUCUCUUUUGACAUAGAGAAUGACCAAAUUAGCAUGUUCUUCAUUGAAAUGACGUAUUGUACACUCCUCAAAGAACUGGAAUUUAAACAGGAAGAGCUGAAAUUGAAAAAAUUGUCUCUAGAGGUAAAUCAAAGAUAUAGAGAGGACCUCGAAGUUAUCCGUAUGAAGACUGAGGACCUGCUUAAUAAAACAAAACAAUAUUCAACCACAUUUGAAGAGAAUAUGGAAACUAAGAAAGUGGAAAAAACAGCAAAAGAAAAAUUAUCGGCCCCAGAUCAUUCUCAUUCAAUGCCAGGAUCAAAAAAAGAACAGCAACAACAAGAACAAGAAGCAAUAAUAGUAGAAGCAGAAGCAGAAGCAGAAGCAGAAGAAGAAGAAGAAGAAGAAGAAAGAAGAAGAAGAAGAAGAAGAGAAAGAGAUUAGUAGAGACAAAUCUACAGUUACUAGGGCUCAAAAGAUGCUAUCCAUGUUCUGCAAUAUCAAAGGAUUCUGUGGCCUGAACUUAUUUCAUUUUAAAAAACGUGAAUGACCAAAGAAAGUAUAUAAGCUGGAAAACUAUGGACAAAAG
This 955-nucleotide long non-coding RNA is filed under the name Phascolarctos cinereus (koala). RNAcentral describes it as "lncRNA (ENSPCIG00000020948.2)". Lineage: Eukaryota; Metazoa; Chordata; Mammalia; Diprotodontia; Phascolarctidae. The record is from RNAcentral.